UACGUAGGGUGCAAGCGUUAAUCGGAAUUACUGGGCGUAAAGCGUGCGCAGGCGGUGAUGUAAGACAGAUGUGAAAUCCCCGGGCUCAACCUGGGAACUGCAUUUGUGACUGCAUCGCUAGAGUACGGCAGAGGGGGAUGGAAUUCCGCGUGUAGCAGUGAAAUGCGUAGAUAUGCGGAGGAACACCGAUGGCGAAGGCAAUCCCCUGGGCCUGUACUGGCGCUCAUGCACGAAAGCGUGGGGAGCAAACAGG
This 253-nucleotide ribosomal RNA is filed under the name uncultured bacterium. RNAcentral's name for it is "partial 16S ribosomal RNA". It matches the Rfam family "Bacterial small subunit ribosomal RNA", at positions 524 to 776 of the family's 1533-position model. The record is from RNAcentral.